UUUGGAUCAGGAAUGCCACAGUCUCAGCACUGAUCCAAUGCAAACUCACCCUGCCAGGUGUAACUGGUUCAAAGAGGCUGUUCACAAGCUACCUUUGUUCCAGCAUGUUUCAGGCUUGAGCGAGUAAUGUCCACAUCACCAGCAUAAACUGACACAGGAUCCGCAUCGCCCUUGGCAAGGCUGACAGAGAGGCUUCCACGAGCCAGCAUCCAGCCCAGGCUCUGUGUGCACCACCAGAGACAAGGAAGAGCACACUGCAAACGACUCUCCUGCCCUAACAUGCACAGGACAAACCCAAACUGUGUUGCUUAAGAAGCUGGUAGGCAACAUUCAGGUACCAGCACAGAGCACCAGCCAGAGCUUGCAGAAAAUAGAGUUUAGAGGACGCAGAAGUCCCAAAAACUACAUGAUAGAUGGUCACGCCACUGAAGUAUUUAUUCAGUUUACAGCCAGUUCCCUGAGCAGGCAGAGAGAAGCACACCCAACUGGAAGAGUUAACUUCCCACACAUUUGGCCAAAAGUGCAUUUCUGGGCACCGCCACUCUGUCCAGCGUUACGCCAGGGAAACAAUGCUAAAUAAAGAUUACGUGGAGUGGUA
Vidua chalybeata is the source of this 598-nucleotide long non-coding RNA. RefSeq lists it as uncharacterized. The transcript is spliced from 2 exons. Lineage: Eukaryota; Metazoa; Chordata; Aves; Passeriformes; Viduidae. The record is from RefSeq and is a predicted model, not a curated record.